This is a long non-coding RNA of Gigantopelta aegis, 365 nucleotides long. RefSeq lists it as uncharacterized. The transcript is spliced from 3 exons. Lineage: Eukaryota; Metazoa; Mollusca; Gastropoda; Neomphalida; Peltospiridae. The record is from RefSeq and is a predicted model, not a curated record.
GCUGUGAAAAAAAAGAGGAAUUCUCAAGGAAAUACAUAUAUUGUAACUCGAGUCGUGUCGUGCUCAGAGGAGCUGAGAGCUAUUUGCCAAAUAUACAAAACUAGGACAACAACCGCAUCUACGUCAACGUCAACCACAACCCGUACAACGUCUACAACAACACACGUCUUGUCUACCGAGAAGACUAGUCCCGCAUCAGACCAGACAGGAAACACAAGGUCUACACAGGCAAUAGCUGGUUCAACCGAAUCGCAAAGACAAAUCAGCCCAAAGAGUGAUUCAAGUGGCAUGAUUGCUGGUGUUGCAGUUGGUGUAAUAGCACUGCUGGUAUUAGCUGGACUAGUUGUUCUUAUCUGGAUGAAAAG